CCAAAGAAUUCCCUUUUCUUUAUAAAUGACCCAGCCUCAGCUGGGAAAGCGGAAAUCUGGAGAACUAAAAUAUCUUGCUGAAGAUCACAAUGCAGUAAAGCAUAGGGCAAGUUUCCAACUCGAACAUCACCCCAGAACACUUCCUUUUAAACAUAAAUUAUGUUGCUAACUUUUUUAUUGUUACUUAGCAGGCAGAUUUCAAACUGAUACAAAUGUUGAAAAUGAUACAAAAUGUUUUCCCACCUUAAAGGCAUUCUGAAACCUAGCACAUAACAUCUGUCACUGAAGUCCAUAGUUUCCAAUGCCAUGAUUGGAUAAAGACCCUAUUGAGACUCAUGUGUUUGUCUCUCACUGCUUAAAACACUCAUGUGUUUUAAGCAACAUGACAAGCACAAAAGAGAACAAGUACUGCUCCUGCUCUCCAGGAAGUUACCAUAAAAUAAAGGGGAUAAGGUGCCUUCCAAAGAAAAAACAAAUACUAGGAGAGGUCAGAGGAGAAGAGAGAUUAUUCCAGAAGGAGAGACUGAGGCAGAUUUCAGGAGGGAAGAAUAUAAGAGUCCCAAAAGAAGAAACAGGAACCCAGGUUAGAGAGCAAUGGGCAAGGGGUAGGAGGUGAGACUAAACUCACAAGGAAGUUGCUUCAAAACAAUAGUGCCCCAAAUGCCAAGCUGAUGGGUUGGACCCAUUUAGGAAAAACCCACAAAGUCCACAGGAGAGCAGACUGCACUUCCAUGAGCUUCAAGCUGUAAACAGUAACCUCAAAUAAAACUUUUCCCGGAUCGGUAAUUUCCAUCCUGAACAAUGGCCAAGUCAAGGAAGCUGAGGAUCGAGCCCCCUACCGCAUGCCACAAAGAACCUCAAGGGACCCCAUGCUCUGGGGAGCUCGCAGGAGGACCAGCACAGAGGUGUGACUGCGUUGGGGCAGGGUGGCCACAUGUACAAUGUUGUACCUUCCAAUGUUCCUCCUUAGGCUGUGCUUAUGAAGUCCCAACAUGUCUUCUGGGCUGUGUUUUCAACCAAGAGAGUUAAUAAAAAGUGGGAUGGGCACCAACUAUGCCUCCAGAGACAUCAGGCAGAAUAUGCCACAGCGUGCCAUGUCCUCCUGCAAACAGUCAGAAAGAAAAGAUCUCUAAAAGCAGAUUGGAAGAGACUAUAUAUACAGAGCGAGUGCCGGUACAGAAGUUUUGCUGCAAAUACACCCUCUAAUCCCUUGCAACCCACUGCAAGCUCGAGAGACCAGUGCCCUUGGUAAAACAUAGGAGAGAUCAUUAAUUAAAGCCUAGGCCCUUUCUUUGAUCCUGAGGGAUAAGGCUUGGGAAAAUGCACAGUGAUAAAAGUGAACAUUUUAAAAGAGCAGAGUGAGUGUGAAUUCCCAAAGAGACCAUUCAUAUCAAGACCCAAGCCAUGAGAAAAUGCUACAAUGCCCUUGAUCAAUACUUUAUAGGCAUUUUGACCUCAGAUCUAAUCCCAUGAGGCUUAGACCAAGACCUUGCUUGAUGCAGACCUCUCUGACUGCUGAAAUUGGUCAGGAGCUCAGUGAUGAAAAUUUGGAAAGUCAAUGCUGAUACCUGAAGAAAGUCCCAUCAGAGAUCUGUGACCUGAAUCUUCAUAACUUUCACAGGCCCUUUCUAAAUGCCAAGGAGGAUGUGUGUGGAGAAGAAUAUGCCACCUAUGGCAUCCCAAUAUGCCUGUGCCCGCCUGCUCUUCAACAAGGGAAUGAAACCUGGGUAUUCUCAUAGGUUUUUUAAAGCACUUGUCCACAUAUUUUAUUCCGCAAAUAACACAAUUUAAAAUUCAGCUAGAAUUUGCCAUUUUCUGUCAGGGUUGUGCAUUUCUUCCAGUCACCAUGACUUCCUGAGAUAGCCAAAACACAAAAUUUAAAUUGUGUUUAAAUUAAAUAAACACAAUUUAUGCUGAAGCUGACUUUACCCACUCUGUUCCAACAUUACUUAUCCUCAGCAUCUCUGAAUUCAAAUAUCAGCCAGGUGUGGUGGCUCAUACCUGUAAGCCCAGCACUUUGGCAAGCCAAGAUGGGAAGGUUGCUUGAGGAGUUGGAGACCAGCCUGGGCAACAUAGCAAGACCCCCAUCUCUACAAAAAAAUUAAAAAAUUAGCCAGGCAUGGUGGUAUGCACCUUUAGUCCUAGCUACUUGGGAGGCUGAGGUGAGAAGAUCACUUGAGCCCAGGAGCUUGAGGUGGCAGUGAGUCAUGAUCAUACCACUGCACUGUAGCCUGAGCAACAGAGCAAGACCCCAUCCCUUAAAAAAAAUACCUGCCCUCUGUACUUCAUAGCACCUGGGGCAUUUUGAACAGUUCUUCCUUCACCUGAGGUCAUUAUUUGAGAAUCCAAUUUUAGAGACUACAAUGCUCUCAUUACUUGGAUUGUAUCAUUUAAUCUUCCCAACAAUCCAGGAAGGGGAGUCUCUUAAUGAUUGUCCUUGAUUUCCAGUUAAAAAAUCUAGACCCAGAGGUAACCUUGUGAAGGUCACAGAGUUUCAGAGUUCUAAGAUCCCAUGCGAGAUUGCUGAACUUGAACUUGUUUCUUCUGAUCUCAUGUCAAUAAGUGACUUAGUCAACACCUGGGUAGAAAUCAUCACUAAAGUGAGAAAGCACAUGGUGAGGGGGAUGAAUCCUGUGCCCACAUGGUCCCUUUCACCUGCCCAAUCCUCAGGCCUCUCACCUGGGGUACCCCUCACACACAUGGCACUUUCCUGAACUCAUGGACAUUUCAGUUUGUAACGAUCCUCCUAAGAUUAUCUACUUUCACCUAUCCACAUUUGAACUAUACUUCUUUAGUGGAAAAAAAGAAAUAAAGCCAGUGCUGAGAAUGAUCAAACUCCAGAAAUAGUAGACUGCUGUAUAAUUUGUCUUGCGUGACACCAGAUCUUUCAAGGAACUGCAAGCUCAAGUGCACAGUUAAGCAAGAUCAAGAUCUACCUUUGUCUUUCAGAGCCUUCCCUUGGCGAGGUCAAGGAUAUCUGCUGUGAGCCUGGGCUGGCUGAACCAAAGGGCAAUGGAGGCGGCCAAGAAGCCCCAGCCAACUGCUCCCCUCCCCAACCCCCUUCUCCCUGGAGGUCCCUUCAGCUAGAAUUUGCCAUUUUCUGUCAGGGUUGUGCAUUUCUUCCAGUCACCAUGACUUCCUGAGAUAGCCAAAAGCAUUUGCUGUGAGCAGAGCCCCAUGGCUGGCUUUGCACAUCAAACAUUUCAGACAGCCAUAUAUUUCAUAGAAUACAAGGGGAAGAUAACACUGGACACACAGAACUUUCCAACAGCUUGAGAAAAUGUGGUGCCUGGUGACUGACUAAAUAUACAAUCGGACAACAGCCAGGCCAUAGCAAAAGAUGGAACUCUGAUCCACAAGGUGCAGCAACUUUCCCAGAAAACAAUACCCUUACCCACAAAAAGCAACCCCGGAAGCUGGCCUGCUCUAAAUCAGACCUGCUGGAAGCCAAAUUGCUCUCUAGUAACUAUCCAGGAAGCUAAAUAAUAACUUCUGUAACAAUUGACUCAAAAUGUUCAGGACUGGAUUAAUAACUGAUGGCUUCCCUAAUUUUUGUCCCCGAUUCCAACUUAGGACCCACCAGAGAAAGCCAAAUAUGGUCCCCUGACCAAGCACACAGGAUGUUCGCUUCUAGUGAGCCGCCUCCAGCUUCCCCGCAUUGAUAACCUCCAAUCAGGGCACACCUGAAGCCUUCGCCUUUUUCCACUAUAAAGCUCUCCCACUCGUCUGCCCACCUUUGAGUCUCUGCCAAAUUGCAAAUGAUGGUGUCUGACUCCCUUGCUGUAGCAAGCUCUGCAUAAUAGCUUGUGCUUAUUCUCUUUGGGUAGGUCUUCAUUUCUUUUCACACCAGAUAGGCAUCAUCUUUGAAAACAUCUUUACUGGGUCUCUUGUCUCCCUCCUGCAGCCACUGAUCUAAAUCACAGACUUUUUUAGAAAGAGGGAAAAUAGUAAAGAAAGAAAGCGAUUGAGUUGAUGCUCCCAGCCACUGUCUGUACCCUGAAUUUUGUUUUUCUGCCAUAUGUCAGGUGGCCUCUCCUGGACCAUCGUCACUGUUUCUCCUGCUUCCCUGCAGCUGCAGACACAGGAGCACUGUGUAGGUCUGGCCUUGAGCACCCACCCACCCAGUACAGAGCCAGCCCCUGCUGUUCUGAAUCAGUGCAGUGACCACUUAGAACACAGUGCCCAUGCCUCUGUGAUCUGAACUGCUCUUUCCAGUUCCAUACAAUGUUAAGAACCCACUUAAGAAUGUUUUAAUCAUUCAGUAGUUUUUCGUGGUAUAUAAUAAAAAAGUGAUUUAAAUACAAUCUAUUUUAUUUUAGAUUAUAUCAUUAGGGGUUAUUUUACAAAGUUACCUUUAAAUACUAUUGUAAAUAAAAUUAAUAACAAAUAAGCAAAAUUCUUACUUUUCCUUGUUUGACAAUUGACAUGGUCAAUUUAAUUUCCUUUAAAUUAAUUAUGCAAGAAAAGGAUAUUUCCUCAAGAAAAUUUAAAAUGAUAUAUAUUUCUUGGUUGGGUGCCAAAUAUUCAUUCAGAAGAAGACGGAAAUUUAAAUCCUUGUUUCUAAUUUAAGGAAAAAACUACUUUCAUUAUUGGAUGUGUGAAAUUCACCCAUUUUGUGUUUAUCUAGAAAAUCUAGUUUAUUGUCCAAAUGUUCUUAUUUUCCCCAAAAGCAUCAGUUAGGAGAGAAGAUUUCCAGCUGCCAUUAAAAUACAAUUGUGUGCAAUGAAUA
RNAcentral lists this long non-coding RNA (4729 nucleotides) under Homo sapiens (human). RNAcentral's name for it is "HSALNT0299021". The record is from RNAcentral. Lineage: Eukaryota; Metazoa; Chordata; Mammalia; Primates; Hominidae.